CAUUCCUCCCAUCCUUACACCAGCACAAAUGACUGGGUGUGCUUAUACAGUGUGCAGCAAGAGAGCCGCACAGAUAAAAAUGGAAAGAAGGAGAGGAGGCAAAGGAAUAAUUUUCUGUCAGAUCAGAUCCUGCAUCCAGUUCACUACUUUGACACAUGAACAGAUUUUGGACACAUCUGAGCCUCGAGAGCAGGGAGCAUACAGACUGGCCAAAACACAACUCUGAAUUUGGCAGAAAUUCCCUAAGGAAAGAAUUCAUCCAGAUUUUUCUCCAAAUGCAGCAGAGCAUGUGGGGAUACUCUGAAAGAAUAUGGAGAGGGAUUUCACAUGGAAGGAACUAUGAAAAAAUGCAUACCAACUGAAAAAUUCCCAAGUAGUAAGUCACACAUGUGAUGACUCAGCUGGCCUAGGGAGCUGAAGCACUCAAAGCAUCUCUGUUUCAGGUAGACACUUGGACACAUGUCAGAUGUCCUUUCCACAACGGCAAGAGAGCAAGGAGCUUGUGAAGAGCUCACUAUCCAUUCUCACUAGGACAAACACAACAAAAUAGUAGAUUUUCUGAGACCAAGAAUAGAAAAUGAAGGCCCUUCCUUUCCUCUUUUCCUAUACUUACAUUUCUACCUACCCAAUGGAAUAUCUAACAUAACCAUGCUCAGUCUUCCAGAAACCUGAAUUUACAAUGUGGAGUUCAGCUACCUGAAAGCCCAGCAUCUAAACUUCCUUCUGGAAAUAAAAAUAAACCCCCAUAGUCCCCUAUCAUCAUCUAAGAAAAUAUAAGAAACAUUUUCAGAGUAUGACCACAUACUGAAAUAACUUUUGUGUCAGACACAGUAGCCUAUGAAGAUGUUUUACAAAUACAGUUCUGAUUCAAAUGCUCUUCAUUAUCUGAGUAUGGACUUUUAACUUUUUGUUUUAUGAUUUUAUCAUAUCAUGUAAAAGAUUCUAUGUUAGACUUGUUUCACCAUGAAAACCGAGUCUGAGUUUGUGUCCCAUCCUCCAUUUGAUCAGGCGUGUGUAUGUUCUUUAUUACAGACUCAAUGUGUUUUUAAGGCAAUUGCAUCUUAUUUGCAGAUCUUUACAUUUUGGAAAAAAAAAAGCCUAGUGCUCUUGUGUGCACAUUAAAUGAACCAUAUUUUAAAUAUCUGAGAAAGAGUUUUCAUAUAUGAUGUGAUAUCAGGAAGCAGUUUUUUUCAGCCCAGUCAGCAAAAUUAGGUUCUAAUGGAAUUAAUUAUCCCCCACAUGAGAAGCAAGCGCUUGCAAUGUGGCAUCUUAAGAAGCAAAAGCAUAAAUUUAAAUAUGAUUUUUAUAUGUUUUUAAAUUAAAAAUUACAUUACAUAAUAAUAUUUAUUGUCUAUAUACAAUUUUUAUCCUAGACAAGUUGUUGUAACACAAAAUGUCAAAUCCCAGCUGUUAAAAGCAUGAAUUCUUUUUUGUAUUUUAAGUUGCUUCCCCUUGAAAUGACAUUGCAAAAAAUAUAUUUUUGGGAGUAGUUUUCAGUGUUUUUCAAUAUUAUAUGCUUCUUCUGUGGGAUUUUUACCUAAAAAUAACCACCUACCUUGAUAUCUGCAUGCUCGUCACUCUGUCUAUUUUAAAUAUUUUUUGCCUACUACAAAGUGGCAGUAUAUUUUUAAGGAAAUACACUUAUGGUCCUUUGUUGCUAUAUUCUGUUUCCAAAGAGCUGUAAAUAAAAAUACAUAAAACUCAA
Molecule: non-coding RNA, 1705 nt
Organism: Zonotrichia albicollis (white-throated sparrow)
Lineage: Eukaryota; Metazoa; Chordata; Aves; Passeriformes; Passerellidae
Source: RefSeq, a predicted model, not a curated record